Molecule: ribosomal RNA, 392 nt
Filed under: uncultured bacterium
Lineage: Bacteria
Description: bacterial SSU rRNA
Rfam family: Bacterial small subunit ribosomal RNA
Source: RNAcentral
AACGAACGCUGGCGGCAGGCCUAACACAUGCAAGUCGAGCGGCAGCGGGUCCCCGCGAGGGGAUGCCGGCGAGCGGCGGACGGGUGAGGAACACAUCGGAAUCUGCCUGGUUGUGGGGGGAUAACGUAGGGAAACUUACGCUAAUACCGCAUGAGACCCUGAGUCGACGGACUGGGGGUGAAAGUGAGGGACCUUCGGGCCUCACGCGACCAGAUGAGCCGAUGUCGGAUUAGCAGUUGGCGGGGUAACGGCCCGCCAAGGCGACGAUCCGUAGCUGGUCUGAGAGGAUGAUCAGCCACACUGGGACUGAGACACCGGCCCAGACUCCUACGGGAGGCAGCAGUGGGGAAUAUUGCGCAAUGGGCGAAAGCCUGACGCAGCGACGCCGCGUG